UACGAAGGGUGCUAGCGUUGUUCGGAAUUACUGGGCGUAAAGCGCGCGCAGGCGGUCUUCCAAGUCAGUGGUGAAAGCCCGGAGCUCAACUCCGGAACUGCCAUUGAAACUGUUUAGCUUGAGGACGAGAGAGGUGAGUGGAACUGCGAGUGUAGAGGUGAAAUUCGUAGAUAUUCGCAAGAACACCAGUGGCGAAGGCGGCUCACUGGCUCAUUACUGACGCUCAGGCGCGACAGCGUGGGGAUCAAACAGG
Molecule: ribosomal RNA, 253 nt
Filed under: uncultured bacterium
Lineage: Bacteria
Description: partial 16S ribosomal RNA
Rfam family: Bacterial small subunit ribosomal RNA
Source: RNAcentral